This 627-nucleotide ribosomal RNA is filed under the name Stanisicarion freycineti. Its description in RNAcentral is "partial 16S large subunit ribosomal RNA". The stretch from base 172 to 372 matches the Rfam family "Archaeal large subunit ribosomal RNA", at positions 1797 to 2106 of the family's 2987-position model. The record is from RNAcentral. Lineage: Eukaryota; Metazoa; Mollusca; Gastropoda; Stylommatophora; Helicarionidae.
UGUUAAGAUUUUUUUAAUUAUAGAAUAUUAAAUUAAAUAUUUUAUAUGAGUUAAUUCUCUAAUAUUAAUCUAUUAAAAUAAUUUAAUAUUAAAUAUAUCUAUAUAUUAAAAUUAUAUUUAAAUUUAAUUAAAUUAAAAAUUAACUAUGUUAAAAUUAGUAUAUACUUUUUAUUUUAUUAAGGAACUCGGCUAAUUAUUAUUCACCUGUUUAUCAAAAACAUAGUCUUAUGUAUUUAUAUAAGGUGAAACCUGCCCACUGAUGUUAAAUUUAAUGGCCGCAGUACCUUGACUGUGCUAAGGUAGCAUAAUAAAUUGACUUUUAAUUGGGGCCUUGAAUGAAUGGAUAAAUGGAUAAUUUCUGUCUCAAUAAAAAUUUUAUAAGUUGCUUAAAAGGUGAAAAUUCCUUUAAAUAAAUUAAAUAGACGAGAAGACCCUAGGAGUUUUUAAUUUUGUUGGGGCGACAGUAUAGCAUUAUAACCUAUAUAUAAAUAUUUUUAUAAAACGAAUAAUUUUAAUAAUAAAUAAACUACCCUAGGGAUAACAGCAUAAUUUAAUUUUAAGUUUGUGACCUCGAUGUUGGACUAGGGACUUUUAAAGCUAACAGUGUUAAUUGACAGUUCUGUUCGA